This 271-nucleotide ribosomal RNA is filed under the name Escherichia coli. Its description in RNAcentral is "partial 16S ribosomal RNA". It matches the Rfam family "Bacterial small subunit ribosomal RNA", at positions 1 to 268 of the family's 1533-position model. RNAcentral also lists the same sequence under 1 other name. Lineage: Bacteria; Pseudomonadati; Pseudomonadota; Gammaproteobacteria; Enterobacterales; Enterobacteriaceae. The record is from RNAcentral.
AAAUUGAAGAGUUUGAUCAUGGCUCAGAUUGAACGCUGGCGGCAGGCCUAACACAUGCAAGUCGAACGGUAACAGGAAGCAGCUUGCUGCUUCGCUGACGAGUGGCGGACGGGUGAGUAAUGUCUGGGAAACUGCCUGAUGGAGGGGGAUAACUACUGGAAACGGUAGCUAAUACCGCAUAAUGUCGCAAGACCAAAGAGGGGGACCUUCGGGCCUCUUGCCAUCGGAUGUGCCCAGAUGGGAUUAGCUUGUUGGUGGGGUAACGGCUCAC